GGAGUCUAGCAUGUGCGCGAGUCAUUGGGACGCACAAUAUAAACCUAAAGGCGAAAUGAAAGUAAAGGCGCGCCUCGCGCGCGCCUAGGGAGGAUGGGCAAACCGGCACUGCCGGAGCCCCGCACUCCCGGGGCGUCUCGUUCUCAUCGCGAGAAGAGGCGCCCCCAGAGCGUACACGCUGGGACCCGAAAGAUGGUGAACUAUGCCUGGUCAGGACGAAGUCAGGGGAAACCCUGAUGGAGGUCCGUAGCGAUUCUGACGUGCAAAUCGAUCGUCGGAACUGGGUAUAGGGGCGAAAGACUAAUCGAACCAUCUAGUAGCUGGUUCCCUCCGAAGUUUCCCUCAGGAUAGCUGGCGCUCGCUAAUUUGCGAGUCUCAUCCGGUAAAGCGAAUGAUUAGAGGCAUUGGGGUCGAAACGGCCUCAACCUAUUCUCAAACUUUAAAUGGGUGAGAUCUCCGGCUUGCUUGAAAAGUGAAGCCGCGAGAUCGGAUCAGAGUGCCAAGUGGGCCACUUUUGGUAAGCAGAACUGGCGCUGUGGGAUGAACCAAACGCGGAGUUAAAGCGCCUAAAUCGACGCUUAUGGGAUACCAUGAAAGGCGUUGGUAACUUAAGACAGCAGGACGGUGGCCAUGGAA
This 636-nucleotide ribosomal RNA is filed under the name Priopus humeralis. Its description in RNAcentral is "eukaryotic LSU rRNA". It matches the Rfam family "Eukaryotic large subunit ribosomal RNA", at positions 670 to 1259 of the family's 3401-position model. Lineage: Eukaryota; Metazoa; Arthropoda; Insecta; Coleoptera; Elateridae. The record is from RNAcentral.